RNAcentral lists this ribosomal RNA (319 nucleotides) under uncultured bacterium. Its description in RNAcentral is "bacterial SSU rRNA". It matches the Rfam family "Bacterial small subunit ribosomal RNA", at positions 184 to 507 of the family's 1533-position model. The record is from RNAcentral.
UCCGGCAGUCGGGGUUCGUGGAAAGUUUUUUUCGGCCAGGGAUGUGCUCGCGGCCUAUCAGCUUGUUGGUGGGGUAAUGGCCUACCAAGGCUUCGACGGUAGCCGGCCUGAGAGGGUGACCGGCCACACUGGGACUGAGACACGGCCCAGACUCCUACGGGAGGCAGCAGUGGGGAAUAUUGGACAAUGGGCGGAAGCCUGAUCCAGCAACGCCGCGUGAGGGAUGACGGCCUUCGGGUUGUAAACCUCUUUCAGUACCGACGAAGCGCCGAUGAUGGUGGUGACGGUAGGUACAGAAGAAGCACCGGCCAACUACGUG